AAAUGCGAUAAGUAAUGUGCAUUGCAGAAUUCAGUGAAUCAUCGAAUCUUUGAACGCACAUUGCGCCCGCCAGUAUUCUGGCGGGCAUGCCUGUUCGAGCGUCAUUUCAACCAUCAAGCCCCCGGCUUGUGUUGGGGACCUGCGGCUGCCCGCAGGCCCUGAAAAACAGUGGCGGGCUCGCUGUCACACCGAGCGUAGGAGCAUACAUUCUCGCUCAGGGCGUGCUGCGGGUUCCGGCCGUUAAACGACCUUCAUAACCCAAGGUUGACCUCGGAUCAGGUAGGAAGACCCGCUGAACUUAAGC
RNAcentral lists this unclassified non-coding RNA (304 nucleotides) under plant metagenome. RNAcentral describes it as "partial contains 5.8S ribosomal RNA, internal transcribed spacer 2, and large subunit ribosomal RNA". The stretch from base 1 to 104 matches the Rfam family "5.8S ribosomal RNA", at positions 51 to 154 of the family's 154-position model. The record is from RNAcentral.